GGGGUUGUGGCUCAAUGGUUGAGCACUUGCCUUACAUGCAAGGCACUGGGUUUGAUCCUCAGCACCACA
This 69-nucleotide transfer RNA is filed under the name Marmota monax (woodchuck). RNAcentral describes it as "tRNA.Val". It matches the Rfam family "tRNA". From Rfam's summary of the family: Transfer RNA (tRNA) molecules are approximately 80 nucleotides in length. Their secondary structure includes four short double-helical elements and three loops (D, anti-codon, and T loops). Further hydrogen bonds mediate the characteristic L-shaped molecular structure. tRNAs have two regions of fundamental functional importance: the anti-codon, which is responsible for specific mRNA codon recognition, and the 3' end, to which the tRNAs corresponding amino acid is attached (by aminoacyl-tRNA synthetases). tRNAs cope with the degeneracy of the genetic code in two manners: having more than one tRNA (with a specific anti-codon) for a particular amino acid; and 'wobble' base-pairing, i.e. permitting non-standard base-pairing at the 3rd anti-codon position. Lineage: Eukaryota; Metazoa; Chordata; Mammalia; Rodentia; Sciuridae. The record is from RNAcentral.